UUUUUCUUAUUUAAAUUCAUAGAAAGAUUAAAUUAAAUAAAUAUUUUUUUGGCUACUGAGUGUUUUCAGAUCCUAGUAAUUAUUGGUCUCCAUUCUCAUGCUACUUUAAGGACAUACCCAAGACGGGGUAAUUUAUAAAGGAAAGAAGUUUAAUUGACUCACAGUUCUGCUGGGCUUGGGAGGCCUCAGGAAACUUACAAUCAUGGUGGAAGGGGAAGCAAACAUGUCUUUCUUCACAUGGUGUCAGGAAGAAGAAUGAGCAAAAGGGGGAAAGCCCCUUAUAAAACUAUUAAAUCUUGUGAGAACUAACUCAUUAUCAUAAGAACAGGCUGGGAUAAACUUCCCACAUGAUUCAUAUCUCCACCUGUUCCCUCCCAGGACACAUAGGGAUUAUGGGAACUACAACUCAAGAUGAGAUUUGGGUGGGUCACAGCCAAACCAUAUCAGGUGUUAAGGACAGAAGGCUAAUUACAUCACUAUUUCUGUUUAUUUUACAGCUUUGUUUCCAAGACAGGAUGUUAUUCAUUCAAGUAUAGUACACCAAAAAGGAAGGAUGGUUCCAUCUGUGAAAAUAUGAUAAUAUGAGCUUUUACUGAACUAGGACUGAUGAGUAAAUGGAGAUAACUAUAUGUGUUACUUAUAAAUACUAUAUAUUCUAGGUUUUGCAAGCAGGUUGAUUUUUCUCUGCCUUAACUUUUGCAGGUCCCAAAUACUUACCAGCCAUUUCUGCAUUCCCCAAUUUAGCACUGAUGCAUUUGACCUAUUGAGAAUUGGUA
This 776-nucleotide long non-coding RNA is filed under the name Homo sapiens (human). RNAcentral describes it as "HSALNT0076444". Lineage: Eukaryota; Metazoa; Chordata; Mammalia; Primates; Hominidae. The record is from RNAcentral.